RNAcentral lists this ribosomal RNA (520 nucleotides) under uncultured bacterium. RNAcentral's name for it is "bacterial SSU rRNA". It matches the Rfam family "Bacterial small subunit ribosomal RNA", at positions 49 to 567 of the family's 1533-position model. The record is from RNAcentral.
UAACACAUGCAAGUCGCGUGCGCAGUUUCCGUAGCAAUACGGGAGCGGGCGCACGGUGCACGGGUGCGUAACACGUGGGCAAUCUGCCCUCCGAUGGGGAAUAACCCCGCGAAAGCGGGGCUAAUACCGCAUAACAUUCCUUAGACCUUGGUCCAGGGAUUCAAAGCAGUGAUGCGUCGGAGGAGGAGCCCGCGCCCGAUUAGGUAGUUGGUGAGGUAACGGCUCACCAAGCCAAUGAUCGGUAGCUGGUCUGAGAGGAUGGCCAGCCACACUGGAACUGAGACACGGUCCAGACUCCCACGGGAGGCAGCAGUGGGGAAUCUUGCGCAAUGGGCGAAAGCCUGACGCAGCGACGCCGCGUGGGGGAUGAAGCUUUUCGGAGUGUAAACCCCUUUCGACUGGGAAGAAUGCCCGCAAGGGAGUGACGGUACCAGUAGAAGAAGCCCCGGCUAACUACGUGCCAGCAGCCGCGGUAAGACGUAUGGGGCCAGCGUUGUUGCGAAUUACUGGGUGUAAAGGG